Molecule: long non-coding RNA, 402 nt
Filed under: Marmota monax (woodchuck)
Lineage: Eukaryota; Metazoa; Chordata; Mammalia; Rodentia; Sciuridae
Source: RNAcentral
GGCAUUCCAUAGUGAAAUUUAAAAAUACCUUUCUACUACUAGGUUGCCUACUGUGUCUCUGGCUGGUACAACAAAAGUGCAUACAGAAGAGCACCUCGCCAGCAUGGCCCUGGAAGACAGCAGGAGGCCUGCAGAAUGCAGAAGCCCAGGCCCCGACGGCUUGUCAAGGAACAGCACGGCUUCCAAUGGGAGUGUCGACUACAGCAGGUCUCAGUGCUCCUGCAGGAGCCUGAGCUCCCACUAUGACUAUUCAGAAGACUUUGUCUCUGAAUGUUCAGAAGUAGCUGCUAGCAGGAAUUUUUUAGGGCAACCUAUGGCAACAGAAAAGAAAGAAGAGAAUAAAAAGUAUACUGCUUCUAAAACCGCCCAGCCUACAGGUAAGAGGCAAGAUUUCUCAGCCAA